UGAUAAGAGACUUUAGCUGGGCAGUAUUGCCUGCUGGUUUGCUGAAGAAGCAGAGGUGCUGCCUCUGCUUUCCCCUCACCCCAUCUUGACACUUUCCAUCAGCCUGCUCAGCUGGGGCUUGGUGCUGGCACCACGGAGGCUGGCUGCUCCUCUCCUGGAUGGGGACUUCCUGACAGUGAGACACAAGAAGUGCGACUGAGGCCCCCAACCUGCCUCACCAGACAACCAGUGAAUAGUACAGCUUCUUCAGCAGCUGCACUGUGGUCUGGGCUGGAACCAAUAUUUAAGGUGCUGUGCAGAUGGAGACUACUGGACAUCCUUUGUACCUUACAGUUUGUAUUCAACAGUGACAAGACAGAAGAAGGACGGGGAAACCAGGAGAGGUAA
Molecule: long non-coding RNA, 387 nt
Filed under: Anser brachyrhynchus (Pink-footed goose)
Lineage: Eukaryota; Metazoa; Chordata; Aves; Anseriformes; Anatidae
Description: lncRNA (ENSABRG00000009386.1)
Source: RNAcentral